GCCAGGUGUGGUAGUGCAUACCUGUAGUCCCAGCUACUCGAGAGGCUGAGGUAGGAGAAUCGCUUGAGCCCGGGAGGUCGAGGCUGCAGUGAGCGGUGGUCACACCACUGCACUCCAGCCUGGGUGACAGAGCGAGACCCUGUCUCAA
Homo sapiens (human) is the source of this 148-nucleotide non-coding RNA. It matches the Rfam family "Metazoan signal recognition particle RNA". From Rfam's summary of the family: The signal recognition particle (SRP) is a universally conserved ribonucleoprotein. The record is from Rfam. NCBI's taxonomy places the organism in Eukaryota, Metazoa, Chordata, Mammalia, Primates, Hominidae.